GGGCCCGCACAAGCGGUGGAGCAUGUGGUUUAAUUCGAUGAUACGCGAGGAACCUUACCAGGGCUUAAAUGUACGUUGCAUUAGUUAGAGAUAGCUAUUUCUUCGGACUACGUACAAGGUGCUGCAUGGUUGUCGUCAGCUCGUGCCGUGAGGUGUCAGGUUAAGUCCUAUAACGAGCGCAACCCCUGUUGUUAGUUGCCAGCGAGUGAUGUCGGGAACUCUAACAAGACUGCCGGUGCAAACCGUGAGGAAGGUGGGGAUGACGUCAAAUCAUCACGGCCCUUACGUCCUGGGCUACACACGUGCUACAAUGGCAAGUACAACGAGUCGCAAUACCGCGAGGUGGAGCAAAUCUCUUAAAGCUUGUCCCAGUUCGGAUAGGAGUCUGCAACUCGACUCCUUGAAGUUGGAGUCGCUAGUAAUCG
This 425-nucleotide ribosomal RNA is filed under the name uncultured bacterium. RNAcentral describes it as "bacterial SSU rRNA". It matches the Rfam family "Bacterial small subunit ribosomal RNA", at positions 917 to 1344 of the family's 1533-position model. The record is from RNAcentral.